GGCGAUAUGGCCGAGCGGUCUAAGGCGCCAGAAUCAGGACCUGCGGGUCAAUCUGGUCCGAAAGGGCGUGGGUUCGAAUCCCACUGUCGUCA
Molecule: transfer RNA, 92 nt
Filed under: Trametes coccinea BRFM310
Lineage: Eukaryota; Fungi; Basidiomycota; Agaricomycetes; Polyporales; Polyporaceae
Description: Trametes coccinea (strain BRFM310) tRNA
Rfam family: tRNA
About the family: Transfer RNA (tRNA) molecules are approximately 80 nucleotides in length. Their secondary structure includes four short double-helical elements and three loops (D, anti-codon, and T loops). Further hydrogen bonds mediate the characteristic L-shaped molecular structure. tRNAs have two regions of fundamental functional importance: the anti-codon, which is responsible for specific mRNA codon recognition, and the 3' end, to which the tRNAs corresponding amino acid is attached (by aminoacyl-tRNA synthetases). tRNAs cope with the degeneracy of the genetic code in two manners: having more than one tRNA (with a specific anti-codon) for a particular amino acid; and 'wobble' base-pairing, i.e. permitting non-standard base-pairing at the 3rd anti-codon position.
Source: Rfam by way of RNAcentral